RNAcentral lists this ribosomal RNA (729 nucleotides) under Streptomyces sp. RNAcentral describes it as "bacterial SSU rRNA". It matches the Rfam family "Bacterial small subunit ribosomal RNA", at positions 137 to 876 of the family's 1533-position model. Lineage: Bacteria; Bacillati; Actinomycetota; Actinomycetes; Kitasatosporales; Streptomycetaceae. The record is from RNAcentral.
UCUGGGACAAGCCCUGGAAACGGGGUCUAAUACCGGAUAAUACUUCCACUCGCAUGGGUGGGGGUUAAAAGCUCCGGCGGUGAAGGAUGAGCCCGCGGCCUAUCAGCUUGUUGGUGAGGUAAUGGCUCACCAAGGCGACGACGGGUAGCCGGCCUGAGAGGGCGACCGGCCACACUGGGACUGAGACACGGCCCAGACUCCUACGGGAGGCAGCAGUGGGGAAUAUUGCACAAUGGGCGAAAGCCUGAUGCAGCGACGCCGCGUGAGGGAUGACGGCCUUCGGGUUGUAAACCUCUUUCAGCAGGGAAGAAGCGAAAGUGACGGUACCUGCAGAAGAAGCGCCGGCUAACUACGUGCCAGCAGCCGCGGUAAUACGUAGGGCGCAAGCGUUGUCCGGAAUUAUUGGGCGUAAAGAGCUCGUAGGCGGUCUGUCACGUCGGAUGUGAAAGCCCGGGGCUUAACCCCGGGUCUGCAUUCGAUACGGGCAGACUAGAGUGUGGUAGGGGAGAUCGGAAUUCCUGGGUUGUAGCGGUGAAAUGCGCAGAUAUCAGGAGGAACACCGGUGGCGAAGGCGGAUCUCUGGGCCAUUACUGACGCUGAGGAGCGAAAGCGUGGGGAGCGAACAGGAUUAGAUACCCUGGUAGUCCACGCCGUAAACGGUGGGAACUAGGUGUUGGCGACAUUCCACGUCGUCGGUGCCGCAGCUAACGCAUUAAGUUCCCCGCCUGG